CUGCAAUGGACGUUGGUUAUUUCAUGUCAUGGAUAUACCUUAAACAAGAUCCUAUUCUAAAUUUUGACCAAAAUGACAAUAGUUACAUCAACGUUUCCAAUCUGAGUAAAUUCUAAACUCAAGAUCUUGUAGAGUUCUGAAGAUUCUUAAGGCUUUCACGAAUCCUUAAAUAUGUUUCCAAAUCUGCCAAGCUUAUGGACAAUAAAAUGUUCAGUAUCGUUGGUAUCUGGAUGAUAUAUUCUUGGCUAUUCUAUACAAUGUCUAAACAUUUUCAUAAAUGUAAAGAUGUUGCCAAUAAUGGAUCGGUGCUGAAAUCUAAAUUUGUAGAGUUCUGUCGAUUUUAAAGGCUUGCCCGAACUCUAAAAGCCAAAUCUUCAAAGCUUAUGAAGUAAUAUAUUCAGCUUCAUCGGUACGUGGAGAUUUCUAUAUCUAAUUUAAAAAAUGUAAAGUUGUUGCCAUAUCUGGAUCGGUUCUGAAAUCGAAAUUUGUAGAGUUCUGUCAAUUUUAUAGGCCUUCAUGAAUCCUUUAAGCCUAAACCGAGCUCAAAAACUGUAACUGGAAGUAAAAUUCUACGUUUUUGUUUAAACAAAUUCCUAAGAAGGCAGCUAUUAAAUUAGCUAAAUAAUAUAUGCAUAAUACCCUUUUAGAAUCCCCAAACUCAGAGUGUUAAAUUGCGAGUGU
Molecule: long non-coding RNA, 681 nt
Organism: Drosophila montana
Lineage: Eukaryota; Metazoa; Arthropoda; Insecta; Diptera; Drosophilidae
Exons: 4
Source: RefSeq, a predicted model, not a curated record